Molecule: ribosomal RNA, 612 nt
Filed under: Triticum aestivum (bread wheat)
Lineage: Eukaryota; Viridiplantae; Streptophyta; Magnoliopsida; Poales; Poaceae
Description: partial small subunit ribosomal RNA
Source: RNAcentral
AUGAGUCGUCAUGAUGGCAUCAACAUCCCCGAUGGCAAGUUCUACCUUGGAGAUGCUGGCUAUGCAUGUCCGCCAGGUGUUCUUCCACCCUUCAGAAAAACCAGGUAUCAUCUGAACGAGUUUGCUGGUAUGAACUAUCCCAGGCUCCUUGAACUGUUCUAUCUCAGACACUCCAGCCUUAGAAUGACUGUUGAGAGGGCAUUUGCAACUUUCAAGAAAAGGUUUAAGAUCCUGGAUCAGAAGCCAUUCCACCCUUACGCUACCCAGGUGAAGCUUGUUCUUGCAUGUUGCAUCAUUCACAACUGGAUCCUGCAAUGGGGAGUUGAUGAAUUUGUGUCGGAGGAGGAAGAUGUGACUCCUGAUGAGGUGAUCAGCUCCGGCCAUGGUAUGGAGGAAUUCGACAACGAAGGAUGAAAGAACAAAAGGUUGGAGUGGGCUCAGGAAAGGAUAACAGAGGUCGGACAAGGACCUGAAGCAGAAGAACAAGAGGAAGAAGAAGGAAGAGGGAGCAGCAAAAGCGAGGAAGAGGAAGCAACACAUAAGCAGCAGAGGAAGAGGAAGCACAUAGUUAGCAUCAUUGAACUAUCCUUAUUUAGCCAUGCUGGCUCUUAA